CUCCUAUUCCAAUGUAGGUUCACUGUCCGGAUUUGGACCAAAAUUUGCACUUGGCUUGGCAUCCUUGACUCCUCACCAAUGAUUUGGCGUCACAAAGACUCAGUUAGAGAUUGGUGGCUCAAGGCGGUUAAUGCUGGAGGUGGCUGCAGGAAGGCCAUCGCCUCCUUGAUGAUGCUUAUCUCGUGGAAAAUUUGGAAGGAGCACAAUGCAAGAAUUUUUCAAAAUGUCUCUGCCCCGACCUCCAUUGUUAUCGCAAAAAUCAAAGAGGAGGCUCAUCUCUGGUCUUUGGCGGGAGCCAAACAACUUAGUAUUGUUAUGUCGUGA
This 324-nucleotide ribosomal RNA is filed under the name Triticum aestivum (bread wheat). Its description in RNAcentral is "partial small subunit ribosomal RNA". The record is from RNAcentral. Lineage: Eukaryota; Viridiplantae; Streptophyta; Magnoliopsida; Poales; Poaceae.